RNAcentral lists this ribosomal RNA (450 nucleotides) under uncultured bacterium. RNAcentral describes it as "partial 16S ribosomal RNA". It matches the Rfam family "Bacterial small subunit ribosomal RNA", at positions 354 to 796 of the family's 1533-position model. The record is from RNAcentral.
GUGGGGAAUCUUCCACAAUGGACGAAAGUCUGAUGGAGCAACGCCGCGUGAGUGAAGAAGGGUUUCGGCUCGUAAAGCUCUGUUGUCGGGGACGAACGUGAGAUACUUGAAUAAAGUGUCUUAAUGACGGUAUCUGACGAGGAAGCCACGGCUAACUACGUGCCAGCAGCCGCGGUAAUACGUAGGUGGCAAGCGUUGUCCGGAAUUAUUGGGCGUAAAGGGAGCGCAGGCGGGAAGGUAAGUCGGUCUUAAAAGUGCGGGGCUCAACCCCGUGAUGGGAUCGAAACUAUCUUUCUUGAGUGCAGGAGAGGAAAGUGGAAUUCCUAGUGUAGCGGUGAAAUGCGUAGAUAUUAGGAGGAACACCAGUGGCGAAGGCGACUUUCUGGACUGUAACUGACGCUGAGGCUCGAAAGCCAGGGGAGCGAACGGGAUUAGAUACCCCAGUAGUCC